CCUACGGGUGGCAGCAGUGAGGAAUAUUGGUCAAUGGACGAGAGUCUGAACCAGCCAAGUAGCGUGAAGGAUGACUGCCCUAUGGGUUGUAAACUUCUUUUAUAUGGGAAUAAAAUGUUCCACGUGUGGGAUUUUGUAUGUCCCAUAUGAAUAAGGAUCGGCUAACUCCGUGCCAGCAGCCGCGGUAAUACGGAGGAUCCGAGCGUUAUCCGGAUUUAUUGGGUUUAAAGGGAGCGUAGGUGGAUUGUUAAGUCAGUUGUGAAAGUUUACGGCUCAACCGUAAAAUUGCAGUUGAAACUGGCAGUCUUGAGUACAGUAGAGGUGGGCGGAAUUCGUGGUGUAGCGGUGAAAUGCAUAGAUAUCACGAAGAACUCCGAUUGCGAAGGCAGUUCACUGGACUGCAACUGACACUGAGGCUCGAAAGUGUGGGUAUCAAACAGGAUUAGAUACCCUAGUAGUC
This 460-nucleotide ribosomal RNA is filed under the name uncultured bacterium. RNAcentral's name for it is "partial 16S ribosomal RNA". It matches the Rfam family "Bacterial small subunit ribosomal RNA", at positions 338 to 795 of the family's 1533-position model. The record is from RNAcentral.